AAGAGUUGCAAAACUCCAACCAUUGUUAACCUUACUGUCAUUCGUUUCCUCGGCGGCGCGGCUCGCCCUCACCGGGGACCCUGCGGGGAGCGCCCCGCCUCAGGAGGUAGGGCAGCCCGAGGUACGAACUCUGUAUUAUAUGGUAUCUCUGAGUAUACUAAAUAAGUUA
This 169-nucleotide unclassified non-coding RNA is filed under the name soil metagenome. RNAcentral's name for it is "partial internal transcribed spacer 1". The record is from RNAcentral.